AUGUGGAUUUGUCGCAAUCGGGCCACUUUCGAAUGCAAAAAACUGAGAACUCCUUUUGAUGUGGUUUUCUCUGCAUGUGGUUACAUGAACUAUUGGGCAGGUCUGAUGGAGGGAGCUGAUCGUGAGGCGAUGCAGCGCGGCGCUAAGAUGCUCAAGACCAACACAGCUGCCAUGAUGAGGAUUUGCGCGGCCCCAGCUAGAACGGCGAUGGACUGA
This 216-nucleotide ribosomal RNA is filed under the name Triticum aestivum (bread wheat). RNAcentral's name for it is "partial small subunit ribosomal RNA". The record is from RNAcentral. Lineage: Eukaryota; Viridiplantae; Streptophyta; Magnoliopsida; Poales; Poaceae.